Trachemys scripta elegans is the source of this 793-nucleotide long non-coding RNA. RefSeq lists it as uncharacterized. NCBI's taxonomy places the organism in Eukaryota, Metazoa, Chordata, Testudines, Emydidae. The transcript has 3 exons. The record is from RefSeq and is a predicted model, not a curated record.
CUGCUGCCUCAAUUUGGCAAUCUGCUGGAAAGACAUAAAAUCAAGUGAGCCCAUACCCCCUGUGGGGAAGAAAGGUGUGCCAGCUGAUAAAGUAGGAUACAGCCACAGAUCCACUUGGAAAUUCUCUGGGAGGAGCCUCAAGCAACAGCCAGCCUAACUGACUUUCUGACCUGUUUACCAAUAAAAGUGCCAAAGCUCAUCUCAUGCCAAAGGAAUGAAGUCUAAUUUCUCUGAGGCGUGCAGUUUUGGGAAGAAGACGGACAGAAGAAUGUGGCUCUGCCUGCUUGAGUGUGUCUCCAGUGUAAACAAAGUCAGGUGUGGCCAAAAGACAAUGGAUAUCAGAGACUGGAGGAAGAUCAUUUGCAUUGUAAAAAAAAAACACAAAAAGGAGAGAAGCCAGCAUGGUGUCUACACCAAACAGGAGAAAGGAACUUUAUCUAGGGAUACACUUCAGAAGAACAGAUUUAAAAGUUUUACUGGACUAUACAAAGAAGGGGAAUGAACCCCUAAAUCCUCCUUUACCUGAAGAGUCAAAGAAACCAAGUGCUUUGAGCUCCAUGUGUUGGGUCCUGGCUAAAGAACGGGCCAGCCAUGCUGGAAGAAUUGUGGAGGUCAGACAAACAUCUCAGAAUAAAAGAUCCGGUUUGUUGAGUUUUAGAAACAUAUUUUUACUUUUGCUUGUUCGCAAUCAUUUCUAUCCUUAUUGCUUAUACUUGGUAUCACUAAACUUACAUCCUUAUGUUAAUAAGCUUGUUAUACUUUUACCAUACAUCAUCUCAGUACAGGAACGCCU